GGAUGCGUGACACCUGGCGGACGGAUGCGGGUCUAGAAAUACCAAUUUCACGGGUGCGGGUCGGGUCACGGGUAAUCCGCCAAUUCUAUUGAUUUACCCGACCCGUCCGCCCACACUAAUUUUCCCUUUUUUCCCCCCCAAUCUUGCCUUGCCCCUGUUGUUUUCAUUUGAGGUUUGUAGCCCUAGGUUUGUUCGACGACUAUGUCUGUCUCUCUCUCAACUCUCUCUCUCUCUCUCACACACACACACUUGAACGGAGGAGACGAGAAACAAUCGGCGUCGGUGACAAUGGUGGCUAUCGACGAUCGGUGAUCGGCGACAGUGGUGGUGGCGAGCAGCGAUCGAAGCAUCGAUUCGAAGUAAUUAGGGCUUCAGCUUCUUCCCUUCUCUUCUCUUCUCUUCUUGUCUUUGUAGAGAUUUGCUUAUUUUUUCAGGGCUUCGACUGUGUUCUGAUAGGGCUUCGACUGUGUUCUGCUAAUUACUUAGGGCUUUCACUGUGUCAAAUUAAUCAUGUUUCAGGUUGCCUUGUUUCUGAGUAUUUAAUCAUGUUUAAGGUUGCCUUAUUUCUGAGUAUUAAAUUAAUCAUGUGUUAAAUUAAGUUACAGAUAUGCUUAUUUCUUGUGUCUGAGUAUUUGAUCAAUGACAGCCCAAAUUGAUGACCUAGACUCCAUGGUUAAGAUUGCCUUGUGAGCAACCUUUUAUGUCUCUCAGUUCAUCACAUGUUGAAAUUGUGUGCAUUAAUGUGUUAUACCUUGAAUGGAACUUAAUUUUGUUUGUUAAGGGUUUGUUAGUUUAUUUGUUUGUUUUGGAAAAAGAUAAGAACUUCAUUGAAAUAUAUAAGAAGUAUGCAGAGCAGUGGCUUUCUUCUCUUCCAUAUCGCUGAAGCAUACUGAUUGGUUACUGUACUAGUUCUGAGGCAAAUAUUUGAAUAGAGUAUGUUAUGAUAUAGAUUAAAUAUUUAGAAGGGGAAGAAAAAUAGUUAAAAUUUACCGACAAAAAAAA
Camellia sinensis is the source of this 1002-nucleotide non-coding RNA. Lineage: Eukaryota; Viridiplantae; Streptophyta; Magnoliopsida; Ericales; Theaceae. The record is from RefSeq and is a predicted model, not a curated record.